AGAGUUUGAUCAUGGCUCAGAUUGAACGCUGGCGGCAGGCCUAACACAUGCAAGUCGAGCGGUAGCACAGAGAGCUUGCUCUCGGGUGACGAGCGGCGGACGGGUGAGUAAUGUCUGGGAAACUGCCUGAUGGAGGGGGAUAACUACUGGAAACGGUAGCUAAUACCGCAUAAUGUCGCAAGACCAAAGUGGGGGACCUUCGGGCCUCAUGCCAUCAGAUGUGCCCAGAUGGGAUUAGCUAGUAGGUGGGGUAACGGCUCACCUAGGCGACGAUCCCUAGCUGGUCUGAGAGGAUGACCAGCCACACUGGAACUGAGACACGGUCCAGACUCCUACGGGAGGCAGCAGUGGGGAAUAUUGCACAAUGGGCGCAAGCCUGAUGCAGCCAUGCCGCGUGUGUGAAGAAGGCCUUCGGGUUGUAAAGCACUUUCAGCGGGGAGGAAGGCGUUAAGGUUAAUAACCUCAUCGAUUGACGUUACCCGCAGAAGAAGCACCGGCUAACUCCGUGCCAGCAGCCGCGGUAAUACGGAGGGUGCAAGCGUUAAUCGGAAUUACUGGGCGUAAAGCGCACGCAGGCGGUCUGUCAAGUCGGAUGUGAAAUCCCCGGGCUCAACCUGGGAACUGCAUUCGAAACUGGCAGGCUAGAGUCUUGUAGAGGGGGGUAGAAUUCCAGGUGUAGCGGUGAAAUGCGUAGAGAUCUGGAGGAAUACCGGUGGCGAAGGCGGCCCCCUGGACAAAGACUGACGCUCAGGUGCGAAAGCGUGGGGAGCAAACAGGAUUAGAUACCCUGGUAGUCCACGCCGUAAACGAUGUCGAUUUGGAGGUUGUGCCCUUGAGGCGUGGCUUCCGGAGCUAACGCGUUAAAUCGACCGCCUGGGGAGUACGGCCGCAAGGUUAAAACUCAAAUGAAUUGACGGGGGCCCGCACAAGCGGUGGAGCAUGUGGUUUAAUUCGAUGCAACGCGAAGAACCUUACCUGGUCUUGACAUCCACAGAACUUAGCAGAGAUGCUUUGGUGCCUUCGGGAACUGUGAGACAGGUGCUGCAUGGCUGUCGUCAGCUCGUGUUGUGAAAUGUUGGGUUAAGUCCCGCAACGAGCGCAACCCUUAUCCUUUGUUGCCAGCGGUCCGGCCGGGAACUCAAAGGAGACUGCCAGUGAUAAACUGGAGGAAGGUGGGGAUGACGUCAAGUCAUCAUGGCCCUUACGACCAGGGCUACACACGUGCUACAAUGGCAUAUACAAAGAGAAGCGACCUCGCGAGAGCAAGCGGACCUCAUAAAGUAUGUCGUAGUCCGGAUUGGAGUCUGCAACUCGACUCCAUGAAGUCGGAAUCGCUAGUAAUCGUAGAUCAGAAUGCUACGGUGAAUACGUUCCCGGGCCUUGUACACACCGCCCGUCACACCAUGGGAGUGGGUUGCAAAAGAAGUAGGUAGCUUAACCUUCGGGAGGGCGCUUACCACUUUGUGAUUCAUGACUGGGGUGAAGUCGUAACAAGGUAACCGUAGGGGAACCUGCGGUUGGAUCACCU
Molecule: ribosomal RNA, 1528 nt
Filed under: Klebsiella pneumoniae
Lineage: Bacteria; Pseudomonadati; Pseudomonadota; Gammaproteobacteria; Enterobacterales; Enterobacteriaceae
Description: bacterial SSU rRNA
Rfam family: Bacterial small subunit ribosomal RNA
Source: RNAcentral